GUGAUUUCCUUAUAUGUACCACAUUUAAACAAAUUACUCCAUUUGGCAUAAUCACUGCAUUUGCUGUCAUUAAAGUAAUUACAUCCAUAGUCAAUAAUUCCAAAAAAAGGUUUUAUAGAACUCAGCUUACAUUUCAUCCUGAACCCAUACGCCCAUGCAAAAGUUAAAGCUUGGCCAGGUCCGAGGCUGAGUGAAGAUAGAUGACUGAUGAGGAGAGGAGAUCUUGUCCUCCAUGUAGCUGUCAAAAAUUCUGUAGACCAAGGAGUGUAUAAUAAGGGGAAAUAUGGUAUGUGAUUUAGGGUGCAGGCUCUGAAGGCAUCCUGCCUGGGUUCAAAUUUUCCUUCUAGCUCUGUGACCUUCAACAAGCUGCUUAAGCUCACAGUAUCUGAAGCUCUACCUCUGAAAAUGGGGACAAUAAUAAUACUUCACUCAUACGGUUGUUGUAAAGAGCUUAUGAGUUAAUCCAUGUAAAGUGCUUACAUGUUGAACUCUAAAACAUAAACUACUAAAAAAUAAAA
This is a long non-coding RNA of Phyllostomus discolor (pale spear-nosed bat), 518 nucleotides long. RefSeq lists it as uncharacterized. The record is from RefSeq and is a predicted model, not a curated record. The transcript is spliced from 2 exons. NCBI's taxonomy places the organism in Eukaryota, Metazoa, Chordata, Mammalia, Chiroptera, Phyllostomidae.